CGAUGAAGCCAGCUUGCUGGUGGAUUAGUGGCGAACGGGUGAGUAACACGUGGGUGAUCUGCCCCAAACUUUGGGAUAAGCCUGGGAAACUGGGUCUAAUACCGAAUAUUACCUUCUCCUGCAUGGGGGUUGGUGGAAAGCUCCGGCGGUUUGGGAUGGGCCCGCGGCCUAUCAGCUUGUUGGUGGGGUAAUGGCCUACCAAGGCGACGACGGGUAGCCGGCCUGAGAGGGCGACCGGCCACACUGGGACUGAGACACGGCCCAGACUCCUACGGGAGGCAGCAGUGGGGAAUAUUGCACAAUGGGCGCAAGCCUGAUGCAGCGACGCCGCGUGAGGGAUGACGGCCUUCGGGUUGUAAACCUCUUUCACCAGGGACGAAGCGUGAGUGACGGUACCUGGAGAAGAAGCACCGGCCAACUACGUGCCAGCAGCCGCGGUAAUACGUAGGGUGCGAGCGUUGUCCGGAAUUACUGGGCGUAAAGAGUUCGUAGGCGGUUUGUCGCGUCGUUCGUGAAAACUUGGGGCUUAACUCCAAGCGUGCGGGCGAUACGGGCAGACUUGAGUACUACAGGGGAGACUGGAAUUCCUGGUGUAGCGGUGAAAUGCGCAGAUAUCAGGAGGAACACCGGUGGCGAAGGCGGGUCUCUGGGUAGUAACUGACGCUGAGGAACGAAAGCGUGGGUAGCGAACAGGAUUAGAUACCCUGGUAGUCCACGCUGUAAACGGUGGGUACUAGGUGUGGGUUCCU
RNAcentral lists this ribosomal RNA (749 nucleotides) under Williamsia sp. RNAcentral describes it as "bacterial SSU rRNA". It matches the Rfam family "Bacterial small subunit ribosomal RNA", at positions 67 to 831 of the family's 1533-position model. Lineage: Bacteria; Bacillati; Actinomycetota; Actinomycetes; Mycobacteriales; Nocardiaceae. The record is from RNAcentral.